GGUUGGAUUCCCCUUUAACAGAGAUUGAAGCUUUUGUUCUAGUUUUGGCUCUGCUAUUUUUUUGAUUGGAUGUAUUUCCUGAUUUAUCACAAUAAUUGCAAGUUUUAUCAUGAUUUAACUUUUUGAAAAUUAUGCUAUUAUGUGAUUAAGGCUACAUCUCUUGUACUUUCUACCGAUAGUCUCAAUAUAACGUUAUUAAUGGAUUAUUUCUUGUAAAAAAUCCUAAAGAUAGGAACUAACUCUGUGGUUAGUAGAUAAAUAUGACUCACUUGUCCAGGUGUUGAUAAACGGGCCGCUGCUGAGUAGGCCUAGAGUUUUCUUAAUUAUAUAUAAUUGAUUUCAUGACAUGUGUUUACAUUUGCUGCAGAUUCCCAUUCAGCCGUUGGACUGAACUGGUACUGUAACACAGUAUGGAUGGUCAAUAUGAAGCAAGCUUCAUCGAAUUCCUCCAAGAGCUCUGAACUCUGUUCUGAUCAUUUUGAAGAUGCUUGCUUUGACAGGACUGGGCAAACGAUUCGUCUAAGACAGGAUGCUGUCCCAACCACAUUUAAUUUGCCGCCUCGUCAUCAGAAGAAUGCACACAAACCAGGGAAACCCUCGAAAGAAAGUCAUUUAGAUUCAGCAAGCAACCUCCCAGAUACUGCAAAGACACCUGUACCAAAGUCUUCAGCACCUUCCCUGGGACUACUACUCAAUGCCAAAAUCUAAGAGGGGUAAAGUGGAAGAUAACAGCAACAUAUAUCUAAAUGGGAUGGAGACCAGCAGCAUGGCAGCAGGAGCUAAUGUUGGUCGUGAUGAGGCAUAUACCACCAUCAACAAUGCUGCAAUUGCAGUCACCACCACCAAGUCUGCUUCUGUCACUGCCAUCACCAUUGCCACCGCCAUUACCAAGACCACUCCUGACACAAAGCCCCCAAGUCCUCAACUGACCAGAUAUUGCAGCUGGAGAAGGAUAUACCAGGAACUUCAAAGCCAGGGCUUGCCAGUCUCCUACAAUAAGAAAAAUGCCAUGGGCCCAUCUAAUGAACUAGUAGUAGAAUAUUUGGCCACAGUUGUAGAAAUGCAGAGACUAACAUACUGCCACAGGUGAGGUUUUGUCCACAGUUCCAGAAGGACACAAAAUAGUAUCAGAAAGUCAUGCCAGAAUCAACAACUGAAGGGUUUGAAGAGCCAGAUAAAGAGCCGAGAAAUGUGAUUUUAAAGGUACUUCAAUCACAUGCACAGUAGGAGCAAAAACAG
RNA transcript from Lytechinus variegatus (green sea urchin), 1239 nucleotides. RefSeq lists it as uncharacterized. Lineage: Eukaryota; Metazoa; Echinodermata; Echinoidea; Temnopleuroida; Toxopneustidae. The transcript has 5 exons. The record is from RefSeq and is a predicted model, not a curated record.